GUUAAAAAGCUCGUAGUUGGAUCUCAACAGCCUUGAAGCGGUUAACUUUGUAGUUUUACUGCUUUAUAGGCUGUGCUUUUGCUGGAGGUUUAGGGGUGCUCUUGAUCGAGUGUCUCUGGAUGCCAGCAGGUUUACUUUGAAAAAAUUAGAGUGCUCAAAGCAAGCUAAAAUGCCUGAAUAUUCGUGCAUGGAAUAAUAGAAUAGGAUGUCGAUCCUAUUUUGUUGGUUUUCGGGACUCGACAUAAUGAUAAAUAGGGACAGUCGGGGGCAUUUGUAUUCAAACGACAGAGGUGAAAUUCUUGGACCGUUUGAAGACAAACUACUGCGAAAGCAUUUGCCAAGAAUGUUUUCAUUAAUCAAGAACGAAAGUUAGAGGUUCGAAGGCGAUUAGAUACCGCCCUAGUUCU
Molecule: ribosomal RNA, 407 nt
Filed under: uncultured marine eukaryote
Lineage: Eukaryota
Description: SSU rRNA
Rfam family: Eukaryotic small subunit ribosomal RNA
Source: RNAcentral